RNAcentral lists this unclassified non-coding RNA (267 nucleotides) under Glomus sp. RNAcentral describes it as "partial contains 5.8S ribosomal RNA and internal transcribed spacer 2". The stretch from base 1 to 65 matches the Rfam family "5.8S ribosomal RNA", at positions 84 to 154 of the family's 154-position model. Lineage: Eukaryota; Fungi; Glomeromycota; Glomeromycetes; Glomerales; Glomeraceae. The record is from RNAcentral.
GUGAAUCAUCGAAUUUUUGAACGCAAAUUGCACUCUCUGCUGAGAGUAUGCCUGUUUGAGGGUCAGCCUAAGAAAAUUCGACAUAUUUGCUGUUUCGCGGUGACAUGGGUCGGAAAUUGGUUCAUCUUAAACCUUUGGGGUUUAAGCGGCUUAAAAUUUUCUUUACGAUUCCACGAACGUUUCUAGGAUGUACUUCUUACGUUUCAGGUAUCUAUUUUUAUUAGACGUUUCCGGUGCAUCUGGUUUGGGCCAUAAAUAUUUCGUUAA